AGGCAGCAGUGGGGAAUAUUGCACAAUGGGCGCAAGCCUGAUGCAGCGACGCCGCGUGCGGGAUGGAGGCCUUCGGGUUGUAAACCGCUUUUGUUUGGGAGCAAGCCCUUCGGGGUGAGUGUACCUUUCGAAUAAGCACCGGCUAACUAC
This 150-nucleotide ribosomal RNA is filed under the name uncultured bacterium. RNAcentral's name for it is "partial 16S ribosomal RNA". It matches the Rfam family "Bacterial small subunit ribosomal RNA", at positions 346 to 504 of the family's 1533-position model. The record is from RNAcentral.